Molecule: long non-coding RNA, 1980 nt
Filed under: Sinocyclocheilus grahami
Lineage: Eukaryota; Metazoa; Chordata; Actinopteri; Cypriniformes; Cyprinidae
Description: lncRNA (ENSSGRG00000036450.1)
Source: RNAcentral
UUAAUUACUGGCACUGAAUCACACUACAUUUUUUGAAUACACAGCCUGGUAUAAAAACAACAUCUUGUGUAACUGCUGUGGGACUUAUAUUUAAUUUUUCUCUGUAGCAGGUGAAAAACUAACAAAUAACUUGAGAUCCAGUGCUACACCUCUCCGUUCUCUGUCCAUCUCUCCAAUUGAAGCCGAUUCUCAUCCACUACAGCCUCUCACUUUUCUCAAAGAAAUGCAGGCCUUGUCUCUCUAUAAAACCACAGGGAAUAAAGGUGCUCUGAAACUGCCUUCUCACUCCAUAACACCUGUUUCCACAACCUCAAGGGGCUCUAAGUGGAAUCCACCCGCUGCACAGGUUGAUCCCAACUCAACCCCUGGAGAAAUCCACCCUGCCCUCCCCACACAUCCCUCCAGACCUCCAGGAGGAGCAGAGAGGUGUGAUGAACAAAACCAGCCCAACAUCUUUUGAAAGAAAGUCUGUCAUUUCUGUGACAAUGAGCCAAUCCUCUCACAUAUCUGUGAGCAACAUGGCCCUGAUGUGCACUGAACUAGAGAAAACACCCGCAUGCCAGAAAGGAAGUAAGGUUGAGAGACUAGAAUUUAAGUCAGGUCCAACAGCCGUCCACAAGCAUCUUGCCCUGAGCCACUCCGCUAGUCUUUCAGAGAGAGAUGAGGACAGUGAGGAGGACAAAGAGAAUAAGGCUCCUUCUCCCUCACAGCUAGCUCUGAAAAUGAAGCCCAGGAAGCUGUUUGGGCCUACUAAUAAAUCCUUCACUCCUAGUAAGGCCAAGGAAGUGGAGACACUGUCAUCUUGUACGAAGUCCAGUUGCAGGCAUGCCAGUGUGGAGGCAGACAUUGAUGUGACCCAGCCUGCUCAGCAGGUGGGCUUUAUCUGCCAUCAGUUCAGCUCAGAGUUUAAGAGGAAGAUCAAGAAUCGCUGCAGGACAAUGGAUCUUUACACCAGGCAGACUUUGAAGACCUUACAGCAGCACAUGUCCUCCGUCAGUGUCCAAUAUACCAGUAUAGGUCAGGCAUGACCCUUGACUCAGAAGAGGUCAGAGUUUCUGCCCUAAAACAGAUGUCUUUGAUGAAGAAGAACAUGAAGUCAGUUCAGGAGCGUUUCUUCAAAGAAAUGGUGAGAGAGCCCAAACUGAUAUUUUAUACUUAGGCACAAAAUUCUGCAGGACUGAAUUCAAGUUUUUUUGUCUUUGUAGCACGAGGAAGAGUUGACGAGUGUGGGAAGAGCACUGCAAUCCUUGUUCUUCCCUGAUACAUCGAGGUUCUGACCUGAGGGGAAAAAAAUCUGCCGUUUGAAAAUCACUUUAAGCUACUCCUAAAAUGUGUUUGUAUGCUUGGAUAUCAUUAAUGUUAUGUUCUUUUAAAUUUUUCCUACUCAAAAGGUUUAAUAUUUGUACUUCAUGCCGUUUAUUCUGGUCUUCGUGAAAAAAUGGUUGGCUGUACAUGGUUUUUGCGCACAUAUUUGCUUAUAUAUGCCAUAUAUGGUUUUUAAUAUGAAUAGUUGUGAAAAGCAAAUAAGUAAAUGUUAUAGGUAAUGUAAGAACAAAUGCAUUUAUUUCAAACAUCCCACCUCAUAAUAAUCAACUUCAGAUUUAUAUGUGCAGAAAUGAAAAAGGGAUACUGGAUUCUGAAACCAUCAUAAGAACUUUUUUUGCAUUCACUAGCAAGGGCCUGAAUAAGCAAUCCUCAUGGGUUCAGUUGAUGGGAGAUGUUGAAAAAUAAACACAGAAAGCUUUACUGAAAGGGUUUUUUCUCAUUUUUACUUGCAGUUGAUGGCACUCAAAAUUAAGAUCAGAUUGAGUGACUUUAAAGGGAGAGUAGGCGAUUUUGGAGAGGCUAGCUUUGAAAGCAUAAGAUCCCACCCUCCCUGCAAAUCACUCUCCAAAGCCACGCCUCCUCCAAAACACAUGAACGUGCACAAGCAGACCAUCAGCUAACCAGCGACACUGUGAGAGAUGAUGUUUGUGGAGG